CACCGCAAUGCGUCUGCAGGGGCUCGAACCACUUCCCUCACAAUUGUGAGGGAGUGGUUCUAACCACUCAAUUUACAUAGUUUUUUUUUUUUUUGAAAAGCUCAAUUUACAUAGUUUUUUUUUUUUUUUGAUUACAUGAGACUAUUGCUCAAAUUACAACUCAUAUUACAUGAGAAUAUAACUGAUAUUUACAAAUCAGACUAUAACUGGGACCAACAUACAUCAAUACUAAUGGAGCGCUGCCCAGAUUUUAACCCUCUCAAAUAUUCGAGGGAUGUCUACUCCUCACACUUAGAUAAGAAAGCAGACUGCCUUCACUCAAAUUUACUUGAGGAAGGAAAACUCCCACAAUGCAUUGUGGGGAUUCGAGCUGCUGCUCUCCAAGUUGGAGAGCAGCAGCUCUCACCACUCGGCCAAAGGCCGAG
This 425-nucleotide long non-coding RNA is filed under the name Citrus sinensis (sweet orange). RNAcentral describes it as "long non-coding RNA (CSIN_LNC004654)". Lineage: Eukaryota; Viridiplantae; Streptophyta; Magnoliopsida; Sapindales; Rutaceae. The record is from RNAcentral.